GUAGGGAAUCUUCCACAAUGGACGCAAGUCUGAUGGAGCAACGCCGCGUGAGUGAAGAAGGUUUUCGGAUCGUAAAGCUCUGUUGUUGGUGAAGAAGGAUAGGAGCAGCAACUGGUUUCUAUUUGACGGUAAUCAACCAGAAAGUCACGGCUAACUACGUGCCAGCAGCCGCGGUAAUACGUAGGUGGCAAGCGUUGUCCGGAUUUAUUGGGCGUAAAGCGAGCGCAGGCGGAAUGAUAAGUCUGAUGUGAAAGCCCACGGCUCAACCGUGGAACUGCAUCGGAAACUGUCAUUCUUGAGUGCAGAAGAGGAGAGUGGAACUCCAUGUGUAGCGGUGGAAUGCGUAGAUAUAUGGAAGAACACCAGUGGCGAAGGCGGCUCUCUGGUCUGCAACUGACGCUGAGGCUCGAAAGCAUGGGUAGCGAACAGGAUUAGAAACCCUAGUAGUCC
Molecule: ribosomal RNA, 450 nt
Filed under: uncultured bacterium
Lineage: Bacteria
Description: bacterial SSU rRNA
Rfam family: Bacterial small subunit ribosomal RNA
Source: RNAcentral